RNAcentral lists this long non-coding RNA (10351 nucleotides) under Coffea arabica (coffee). Its description in RNAcentral is "long non-coding RNA (CARA_LNC006034)". The record is from RNAcentral. Lineage: Eukaryota; Viridiplantae; Streptophyta; Magnoliopsida; Gentianales; Rubiaceae.
UUUUUUUUUUUUUUUUUCGCUUUGCUUUUUAUUGUGUUGGACCAGGUGAGUUGAGAUUUGUUUCUUGUUUGCAUGCAUGGAUGAAGGACGACAAUUAUUCCUGAUAGUUAGUCUUGCUGUAAUUGCACCUUCUGUUGCUGCCAUUUCUUUGCUUUAAUGCAUUUGCUGCUUGGGUUUGGCAUAGCAAUCGUGGUUAUUGCUCAGUGUAACCUUGCGAUAUGGCUAUUUGUUCUUGUUUGGCUAAGAUUUAGCGACAAUUGCUCUUUUUCUUGUUAAUGGAGUGCAUCAAUAUAACCGUAAUAGUUAAAUGCUAGGUUUUGCUUUUCCUUUCCUUUCCUUUCUCUGUGGUGUAGAUUAAUGCUCUGAGAAAAUUGCUACCUAACAAACCAGAAAUACAUCACAUAUGCCUCCUCCUAAAGACAAAUAAUCAACACGUGAAAUACAAGCAGUAAUCCUACUCGCAUAAAUUAGAAGCCACGUACUGUCGAGACGCGCAAACAACACCCAGCUGACUACAACCAUGUUAUUUUUCAUUUUGUACAUCAAUACGAUCAUAUUCGGUUCGCAUUUACAUUCUUCAGCAUUUUUGUCUAGCUUUGCUAGAGCCAAUACAAUUCCAUCUGGACUUGACUCUGCAUUUAUUUUCAUCUAUUUCCGCUUUGCUUCUUUGCUUUCAUUUCUGAAGAUUUUUGUAAUAACUUGCUAAAAAAUUGCAAGCAAGAAAUAUUGACUGUUUUUGGACAAGACUGAAAUUGAAACAAAUGCUUGUGACAUGCUAAAUACUGGAUUCAAUGAAAAUAGCAAUAGAACGUAAGGGGUUGAUCAAUAUGUUAACUUGGUCUUCAAAAAAAGUUGGUGCAAUGUUGAAGACUAGUGUGUUGAAUCUUCUGAAAAUUUUCAUGGGAAUCUGUAAGACUCAAAAGCUACCACAAUAAUCUCUAAUUUGCGAAUUUUAAACACGGCAGUCAGCUACAACAUCAAUAUUUCAAGUUCAUACGCAUUCAUUUAAAAACAGACUGAAAAAAGUGAAUCCGCAACUUUACGAUAAAAUAACCAAACAAGUUUAGGGGAGGGAGCGUAAACGAGAGAUUUCAGAUUCCAACCCUUUCACUUACACUUAAGAAAAAAAACACAGUUAGUCAUAACCAAGUUCUUAUACCCUCUAAGACUUGAUGUUUUCAACCUUAGUAGGAACACAAAAUCAUGUAUCUAUAAAAGCAUAAUUGCAACCACCAAAAGAUCGUCAAGAAAAGUUGAAGGACUCAGAUUAGGACAUCAGACCUGUACAGAACAACUAUGAUGCCAUUCAUUGCUCCCUGCUCUGAAUCGCACAGAUUUGUGAUGGCCAAUCUGCCCAAUCUUUAAUCACAAAAACUGAAGCCACAAUUUGAUUUCCAGAUAUUUGGCAUUGAGGUGCAAAGAAGAGCAAUUCAAGGACACGGCCAACGUUGAAAAGUCCUAAGUUCAAUAUACUCCAUACUAAUUCCUCCCAAUUGCAACAAAAAUCUUUGCACCAAAAUAAAAAAAAAUCCUUUAUUUCAUUUUUAGGUUUAAGUACAAAAGAUGAGAUCAUGAAUCUAUUUAAAAAAAAGCAUUCAUGCUUCAAACAUAUGAUCUUUUAAUAAUUCAUAUGAUCUUUUGUUACAUUGAUAAAACUUCCACCAAAUGGAUAACAAUACAAUUUGCAUCAAGUGGAUAUACCGCAACAAUAAGUAUUCCAGCAGAAGGGAACAUAUACCUCCCUCUUUGAAUAAGCAUUCUACAGAUAUGCCGCAACAAUAAGUAUUCCAGCAGAAGGGAACAUAUACCUCCCUCUUUGAAUAAGCAUUCUAGUAGAAGUGAACAUAUAUUUCUCCCCUUUGAGGUUAUUCAAUUUGCCAAAUCCAAAGCAGCCAACUCCUUUUCCGAAUUAAAACAACAAACACGAACCAAACACAAUUAUUUUUUGCACAAGCCAUCUCAAAUUUUCAAUUUCUUGCAGACAACUUCCUCUCACACACUAGCCGCGCUUUCUUUCAUUCGAACCUAAUCUUAAAAUUUUUAGCCUCUUUCAUUUGUUGGUAGAUUUUCAAAUUAUAUAUACUUCUCAACUACACAUCACAUUACUUUUCAUUUCUUAAUGAUUUGUAUUUCUUGUUGAAUUAUUGCAAGCCUUCCAACAAUAUCCAUAACUAUUCAAAAAUGUCAUUCUUUCCAUUUGUCCACCGAUCUCCAAAAUAUAUCAAUAGGAAGAUAUAACUCCUAAUUAAAUGUUAAGAGGCAGAAACAAUUAAUUCCAUAUUUUUAUACACAGAAACCGUGGCCGAAUAUAUCAUCUUCGACUUGCAUUGCUCAUCAAGACACCAAAAUUCAUCGAUAACUUCAAAAUCAAACCUAAAUUUCUGCAAAGACAAGGCCGUACCAGUAGCACUAUCGAACAGAACCAUCUUCGCUGAAAAUAUAUGAGGCCGGUCAAAUGUACCUCGCCUUCUACAAUUGAAAAGGCCACCGCCGCACCGCUUCUGUGAUGUUAGAGUUGGAAUCUCCCAUAGGGAUAUAAAGACUUGAGCAGAAUCUAGGGUUAGAUGACGAUUUAGCAAAUGGACUAUUCUACCCUACACCGUCGAAUCUAAAGCACUUUAAUAGCUAAAGGCUACUUUAAAUUUGGACUUGGGAAAAUUGCUAAUUUAAUCCCUAAACUUUUUCACUUAAAUCAAUUUCGUCAUUUAUGGUUUUUUUUCACCAAUUUAGUUCUCAAACAAUUUUAUUUUCACCAAUUUAAUUCUUAAAUAAUUUUAUCAAGUUCAAUGUAGGACUUAUUGGGCGGCAUCACCACAUUUUAUGUAUUUUGCACAACUGGUCAAGGGUAUAAUUGGAAUGACAAGUUUGACCGUCUAAUUGUAGCGAUUAUAAUAGAGACUUUUAGGCAAUCAAGGACAAAAACCUCCGAAAAUUUAGAGAGGAGAGCACUAAAGAGAAACCAGACCAAGGUCUGCAAAAAGUCAGCCACUGCCCGUGAGUUGUACACUUUACUCUUCUACUAUAGUAUAGUAAGUUGUCUGCAUUUGUCACUAGGAUUUUACCAGGCAGAGCCAAUGGAACCAGAGCUUUUCCACAUACUCUUAGUGCUAUAACAUGGUUCCGUAUUUCAGUGUUUCACUACUUCUCUAAUGCGGCCCAAAGUACAGCACUAAAGAGCAAGAUAUAUAAAAGAUUAACUCCCGAGUCCCCGGUGUCACUCCAUCACAGUGUAUAUCCAAAUCCAAGGACAUAGAUGCCUUGUCCCUGUCACUGCUGCUGUUGUUGUUGUUGGAGGGCAUUGUGUGGAGCGGUGGAUGGCUAGCAUGAUUGUCUGGCCUCAACUGCGGAGGACACGUUCAAAAAGAAGAAAAAAGCGAAGGUGGAGGUGGAGAUGAACACAAAUGGGGAAAUUGUUAUGGCAUUGUAGGAUGAUCAACUGCGGUGGAAGGUAAUUCAAGUAUGUCACAGUUAGCAUCCUCCUAAUCCUCCGACAACAACUCCGAGAUGGGGCAAUCCAUGUUAACUCCAAAUAGCCUCAGCCGCUUUGCUGUGGCCUUUCCUUGGACCCGUGGCACCGACUCAAACACUAUUGGCUCCUGCCUCCCUACCUCCUCUACCAUCACCUCCUCUGGGUUCAGCCCAACGCUGCCUCCUCCUUCUCCUCCUUCUCCUCCUUUCUGUACCAGUUGCACCGUUCCGAUUCCCAAAUGAACCGGUAGUGGCCCUGUAGCCGCAGCGGAUCUGAGAUAAAUGAACGGGCUGGGACAACCAUUAUUACAUUGCCGUAGGCAUAGUUGUUGCUUAGAUGAUGAGGAUAAGAUGGAUGGGGAUUGUUGUUAAUACCAACACCAGUAGCAGCAAUAUUUAGUUGUAGCAACUGGGAAUGGUCCCUGGGGGUUUGCUGCCGCUGAUGAUGCUGCAAGUAGAAAAAAUGGUUCCAAGGAUGGGGGAAAGAAUAUUGAUGAUGUGGAAGUGGCUGCGAAAAACUAGUAAUGGACAUGGAAGGAGGCAACUGGGGGUGGUCGGGAGCAUCGGGUCGGCACCUCCAAUCAAUGAACAAUUGAUCCUUAUCCAGCUCACUCGCGCCGCGCUCAAAGGAGAUGAUGUCCCCGGCAUCGAGCUUCUUUUUUUGACGAAACGGCUCCAGCCUUUCUUAAAUUUUGAUGCUUAUGAAACCCUAUUUCUCUCUCAAUUUUCAGAGGUUUUUGUUCUUAAUCGUCUAAAAAUCUCUGUUAUAAUCCCCAUAAUUAGACAGUGAACCUGUCAUUCCAAUUAUAUCCUUGACCCACCGUGCGAAAUACAUAAAAUGUGGUGACGCUGCCCUAUAAGUCCUACAUUGAACUUGAUAAAAUUGUUUGAGGACUAAAUUGGUGAAAAAAAAUCGUAAAGUACGAAAUUGAUUUAAGUGGAAAAGUUUAGGAAUCAAAUUGGCGAUUUUCCCUUUGGACUUUGGACAAGUUGCUAAAAUGGGUCAUUGGAAUUUGCGAGAUUCCCAUCUGUUCUCAAGUUAUGAAUACUUAUGAUGUAAAGAAAUUGAAAUGAGCCUCUCGAUAGUGAAACACAUUUAUUUUCUUUUCUUUUCUUUAUUAGUAUCAAAUACUUCAGUGUUUAAACUUGUUUGAUUAUUUUAAUGAGUUUGAAAUUUUGUUUAAACUUGAAUUAUUUAUUUACCGAAUUCAGUUUGAACGACCUUUUAUCGAGUUUGAAUAUUAUCGAAUAUAAAACACUAUUUAAGUUUAACUCGAUUACUUCGCGAACCAAACUCGAAUGAACUUUUACCAUAUCAAAUUCGAUUCAAGUAUCAAAUAGGUUGAUUCAUCUUUUAACUCUACCAUAUCUAGGAAGCAUUCAGGCUCCAUUUGAUCUAAUGUAAAAGGUUUGUAUAGAAUUUUUUCUGGGAGAAAAUGAAUUACAUGAGGUUAUUUCUUAAGGGAUUCUCAAAAUUUCAGAUUAUAAUGCCAUUUUAAACGUAAUGAUGUUAUGUAUGGUUAUCUAAAAUAUGAAUAAAUAAAUGAAAAGAUGGAACGAAAGUGAGGGGAGAUGAUUGAAAUCCUUUACUAAUCACCCUUUAUUUUUCUUGGCCGAGAUCUCACAUGGAAAUUGCAGAAAAAGUCAUGAAAUCAUAGGAAAAAUAUGCAAGUCUAGAAAAUAAAAAGAGUACACUCCGACAAGAUUUCAAUUGGCAAUAUACAAUGCAAAAAGAGAAGGAAAAAUGAGAAGGUUUGACAACCAAUUAGGGAUCAUAUUGUUACCUAACUAAUAUUAUCUGUACUUGUUAAAUUCGAUCUAAGGGACAAUACUUGCCCAAGUAAUCUUACAUAUAAAAAGAGGGAGUUUAGUUUAGGGACAGUGGUUUUGGUCCCCUAUGGACCCCUUGAGUGGGUGGACAAUUUUGUGAAUUCAAUUGUGUAAGCUAUUGGACAAGGUUAGUUCAACUCUAAUAAUGUGAGACAUAAUAUGGUCCUGAUAUUUUUUUGUGACUAUGUUAACCUUACAAGUCAAUUAUACCUUUUGUUUUUUCUAUACUUUAUACUGAUUAGGAUGAUAUUGAGUGGGUGGACAAUUUUGUGAAUUUAAUUGUGUAUGCUAUUGGUCAAGGUUAGUUUCAACUCAGAUCAUGUGAGACAGAAUAUGGUCCAAAUAUUUUUUGUGACUAUGUUAACCUUUUAAGUCAAUUAUACCUUUAGUUUCUUCUAUAAUCUGUAUUGAUUGGGAUGAUAUUUGAGUCUUUGAUAAUUAUAUACUAAGUUGAAUCUAGGCCCUUUUUCUAGUACAUGUUAUCCAAGUUGGCUGCCCAUAGUUAUGCUAGUGGGCCAAAAUUUGGUGAGACUCGAUUUUCAAAAAUUCAAUAGUUUAAAUUGUGCCACACCAUUUUUUUUUUUUGGAGAGUUGGCGAGCUUUAUAUAAUGAAAUAAGAAUUUACACUCUAACCGUCAACUUUCCCUUCUUAUCUUCCUCUAUAAUUCUAAGAAGAUCAGGGGGAAAAUUUAACUCAAAAAUAACUUUAUUUACCCUAUUGAGAUAACUAGCCAUAAAGUCAACAGCUUGAUUGCAUUGGCGAUAUACAAAAUAUAUAGUCACCUCCUUGAAGCAUGAGAUUAAAUCCUUUAUAUCAGAAUAUGCAACUAGAGCCCUCCACGGAUAGUCAAUUUUGCUAUUUAAGAUAUCUGCAGCAAGUUUUGAAUCAGUGCGGACCCCAAUACGUUGGUGCGCCACACCACUUUACCAAGUAGUGUGGCACAAUUUGAACCAUUGAGUUUUUGAAAAUCGGGUCUAUCCAAGUAUGAACCCAUACAACGCACUUUUACCUUCAUCUUGUUAUUAUUUAGUUCUCCCAAGAAAAACUUAUUCUCUUAACUCAAAUCUCUCUAAAUACAUAACCAAUUAAUAAAUGCAUAAAAGCUCCAAGUUUCAAGUUAAUUUUCCUCAAUCCUUUGGAUUUGAACCUCCAAUGGUGUGCCUGUUUUUGGAGUGCUUUUCAAAAACUAGUUUUCAAAUACAAUAAAAUUUUUUUAAAAAGUACUCUAAAAGAUAAUCUAAAAAUUAGUUUAAAUUUUUUAAAAUUUUAAAAAAAUAUCUCAAUAUAUAUUCUAGAAACUCUUCUACUCUUAAAUAUCCCAAAAUAUUUUCUAAAAAUAUUCCAAAAUAUACUUUAAAAACUCUGCUACAGCAAAGUUUUUCAAAAACACCCCAAAAAAUAGCUAAUCCAAAUGGAGCAAUUUUUUACAACUGUUUAAUAGUUGCAUGAAGUAAUAUAGAUGGUUGAAUUGAUUUUUUUUUUUGUAUUAAAUUAAAAGCUUGGUAUAGAAAAGUCAGUGCUUUAAAUAUCUUAGUGAUUAAUUAUAAAAAACUGGAUCUUAUUGUUAGUUACAUGUAUAAAUUGAACUUGUAUUCCUUAGUUUCCCAAAAAAAGGGACUUAUACUCUUUAGAAUAGCUGCUUAAGUGCAAUAAUUUAGUUACAUAAACUUUACUAUUUAAUGUGUAGCUUUGUUUGAUUGAUGAAUAGAUUUAAUACUUGAAGUUGCACUACUUUAAUAUUGUAAUAUUGCUAAAUCAAUGAUCAUUAAUCUUAAUUGCUUUCAAUUCAAAAUUAAAUUACAUUAAUCGAAAUGGGAUAUGCACGAUUUUGGUGUAUGUUUGUAUAUCGCUAAAAAGCUUCAGCUUAUUCAAGUCAAUUUCAUCGUCAAAUUUCUCUUUUCAAUGUUCCAUAGGUUUCUCAACUAUGAGAUUGCAUCGCCUAGAUAGUUGCAACUUGCAAUCUGUAAUGUGUUAGAAGUAAGUAUCUUACACUCAAAUAAACCCUCCAAUUUACCCUCAAAUAAACCCUCCAACUAGUAAGUAAAUUAGCUGCCAAAAUAAGAAAAUUUCAAAUUAGUCAUUUGCUAAUUGCUUCUUCCUAUUUGGUUUGCUAAUAAAUCAGUUUUGUUUGGGUGAUAACUGCUACUGAAAUAUGAGAUGCCAUUUUAAUUAUUCUUGGUGGCUAGGUUCAAUACCUUGAUUGUCUAAUUGUUUAGCUUUGGAAUCAUGUCGGUUUUCCAAGUUAUUACUCAAAUAUCGAUACUUUUUCAAAUAGCUCUUGACCAAUGAUGUAAUUAGAGGUGGCAAAAAAGCCCAAAACCCAACAACCCAUCCAACCCGCCCAUUAAUUUUAGAGGAUGGGUUGGGUCAAUUGGGUUAUGAGUUUUAUUGGGUUGGGUAAGAACAACCCAACUUAUUCAUUGGGCGGGUUGGAUUUUUUAUUUCGGUACCCAAUACCCAACUUGUUUAAAAGUAAUUCAAAAUAAUAAAUACAAGAUUUAAUACACAUAUGCCCAACUAUUUACAUUUGGACAUGUGUUAAUAAUUCAUUAAUUAAUUUGUAUUCAAAAUUCUCAUAUAUAUAUAUAUAUAUAUAUAUAUAUUUUCAAUCAUUUUUCUAAUUUUUAUUUAAAAUAAAAAAGAAAAUUAAAAUAAAAACUCAUGCUUAUUUUACUUAAUUUAAAGUUUUCCUAUUUCUUUUAUGAUAAGUGACCUUUUUCUGUUUCUAAUCAUCCAAUCAAACUGCUCAUUUCUUAAGUUUUAGUCCAUUGUUAUCCAUACCAAGAAGAAUGAUAAUAUUAAAAAAAAAAAGCUUUACUCUCAAUCUCUUUCUUUGACCUCAAAAAGAAUCUUUUUUUUCUGUUGAAUUUAGCCAAAAUUUUAUGCAUUUCAUUUCGAGUUCAUCUGAUCUUCAUACAAAGUGUGGUUAUCACUUGGGUGAUUAGUUUCUUUCUUUUUUUUUUUCCCACCCUGAGUGAGGUUAGAACAAAGUUUUGGAAAUAUAGUACCAAGAACCCCUUAAAAGCUUUGCCCCUUAUUCCUUUCUAUUUUCCUAUUAAAAAAAGUACAAAGUAAACAAUUUUUUUAGCUACUCUGUUUAAAUUUAUAAUUUAUUAUCUAAAAUUCACAAUACAAGCAAUAUAAAAUAUUAUUCUAUUUAUGAUGUGUUUCCAAGGAACUUAAGAAGUGAGUGUGUGUUUGUGUGUGUGAAAAUACAUUUAUGUAUGUGAAAAUGUGUUUAUAUAUGUGAAAAAAAAAUUUGUGUGUUAAAAUGUAAGUGAAAAAGUUAUGUAUUAAAAUGUAUUAAUUAAUUUGUUAGGUCAUAUUUGGGUCACAGGUUUGAGAUAAUUCAAUAUAACCCAACCCAAAAUCAACCCAAUCUAAAGUUGGGCGGGUUAGUUAUAACCCAUUUAAGUGAAAACACAAUAUUAACCCGCCCAAUCCGCCCAAUUGCCAGGUAUAGAUGCCAUUGAAAGAAUGCACUUCAUGAAUACAGUUUUAACAAACAAAUCAUUCACUAAGUAUGUUUUUUAGUCUUUGAAAAGAGAUUUUAACACUCACUAUUCGGUAAGUCUUUUCAAAAAUCAUUACUCCUUGAAUAUUUAUUUGGAUUUUCAAUCCCACAUAUGAGUCUUGUGCAUGCAAGUUAAAUUAAGUUUGGAACUAUCUUUUGUUAAAUGUUUGUCCUCCACGCCUUUAGUUUUCAAAACUUCCUGCUAACUCUCAAAUUUGGUACCUUAGUCCACUCUUAUUGCGUGAAUACUCUGUUCCAUUCUUUAUAUGCACAAAUUUUUUUAUAGCUUUCAUUUGGGCAACAUCAUGCAUCGCAUGAUGCCCCAACAAACUAGUAUAUUAUAGUUGAUCAAUAUGGUAGCCCAGUGAUCUUGUGUAAAAUCUGUAAAUACUAAAAGUUUUUUAAGUUAAAACCAUUUUAGAAUUACAGUACGUUCCUUAAGAGUUGGACACAUAUUGGACGAGGAACUCUUGAUUAAGUGGUUAAAAUUGAAGUUUCAAUACUUAAAGGGCUUGGUUUUAAAUCCCAUUUCUCCCCACUUUUUAAAUUCCAUCAAUUUCCUACUAUAGAAAAAAAAAAAAAAGAAUUGAACUCAUGUUGUACUUUAGGCCCUAAUGUAUAACUUUUGUGUCAUUUAAUCAAUUUAACUAUCAGUCAAGUGAAAUCAACUAUUAAGGCAAGUUGUGAAGGGUGGGGAAUAGUCUGCAGGGUUCACUCCCUGCGGGAUACCUAAAAUAUAUAUAUAUAUAUAUAUAUAUAUAUAUAUAUAUAUAUAUAUAUAUAUAUAUCAACUAUUAAGGCAAUUGAAAGGAAUAAUAUAACCCAAAUCAAAGCAUCUCUCCACUGACUAAUAUAACCACAAUUAUAGAUGUAAUUUUCAUGAGUAUAAAAGGGGAAGCUGCUCAAGGAACAGUUAUGGGCUAACCAGAAAACUUGUUCAUCUAACGAAGAUGCAAACAUCAAACUUGGUACUAUAGUGUCUCAGUUAAGUAUUGGUCCAAUUGUUGGAGAUUGUAAUGCAAUUUUACCUCAUUCUUGAUUCUACACAACGUUGAAUCUCCUGCAGAAUUUAUUUCUUGGGGAGUUCGUAAGAUUCAAAUGGCAAAAGCUUCCAAAAUGUUCUCUGAUUUAGGAACUUUUAAACGCACAGUCAAGCUGCAGCACUAACAAUACAAGUUCAUGAUGACUCUGCCUAUAAUGUUGCAAAUGUGAAAAUGCAGAUUCAAUUCCAUUUCAAUACCAUUUUGAUCUUUAAAAGAAAAUUUGCAUCUAUUUUUGAGCCCUUUUUAAUGCUGAUCAAAGGAGAAACUAGUUAGUCGUAACUACCUUUUUAUAGCAUAGUACAAUUGCAAACACCAAAAGAGUUGUAGUUCAACUUCAAGAUGCCUGCAACAUGGAACAAGCGCUCGAGGACUAGCAGAUUUGGACAUGAGAUUCUGUACAAAACACUAUGCUGCCGUUUAUUUUCUCCCUGUUUUCAUGCCUGAAAACAUACUGGCAGGAAAACUAAAUCACGCAAAUUGUCAUUUUGCCCAUUU